UGAUUCAUAGUUAAUUGGUGUGUUUG
This 26-nucleotide non-coding RNA is filed under the name Mus musculus (house mouse). Lineage: Eukaryota; Metazoa; Chordata; Mammalia; Rodentia; Muridae. The record is from RNAcentral.